GUCGUCAGCCCCCGACGGAGGGACCGGGUGACCGGGCCGCGGACAACGUCCAGGAGGCUCCCGAGUUCGCGGAAACGGCACACGAGUCGGGGGCGCCCCUACCAAGCCCUGGCCGCGCCUUGACCCUCGCGAAUGCCUCCUCAAGCUCUGGUGCCCCUAGCCGUAGUGGGUCGCACAGCGCCGAUAUGUCCUCGAGGACCUCUGCAAAAGCCAUAAAGUGGAAGCAUCUACGCCCCAGGGAGGGGCACUCAGAUCGCAGUCUGAUCCUGGCCCUUCCAGACCAGGAGAAGCCGCAGCUUAUGGAGGGACUCCCAGCGCUGCCCUACCAAGUUGGGCCCUUGGGGGAGCCACUCCCCGUCCCAGGCUCCGUCUCCCACUUGGGACAAGAAGAUCCCAGCACUUGCCAGGUCUGCAAGGUGGCAUUAGGGUUAGCGAGAGCGCGUCGCAGUCACUACACUGCGACCUGAUCCAGCAGCACCUGCCUGCCUGGUCUGCACCCCCAUCCCCAUCUCAAGCCCACCCCUGGGUUCUUUGUAUUGUUUAUCGCUCGCAACUAUAUAAUCAAAUUACCUGUGUUCGC
Molecule: non-coding RNA, 580 nt
Organism: Manis javanica (Malayan pangolin)
Lineage: Eukaryota; Metazoa; Chordata; Mammalia; Pholidota; Manidae
Source: RefSeq, a predicted model, not a curated record